Pollicipes pollicipes is the source of this 621-nucleotide long non-coding RNA. RefSeq lists it as uncharacterized. The record is from RefSeq and is a predicted model, not a curated record. The transcript has 2 exons. Lineage: Eukaryota; Metazoa; Arthropoda; Thecostraca; Pollicipedomorpha; Pollicipedidae.
GUCAAACAUCGAUCUGCCGAGCCUCCGCCCACACCUCCAGAGGUCACCAUGAAGCUGGCGGUGCUCCUGCUGAGCGUCACUGUUGCCGUCCUGGCGCUCAGCUCGACGACAGAGGCCGCAGGCCGCAAGUGUGGCAAGCCCUGGUUAUGCUACAGAUGCAUCCGGGUAAAAGUCUGUGACUGCGAAUGCGACCACCUCCCCUUUUGUAACCUGAAACAUCCGUGCUGGCACUGUCAUGCCGGUGGAAAGAACUGCGACUGCGAAUGCGACCACCUCCCCUUUUGUAACCCGAAACAUCCGUGCUGGCACUGUAAGGGAAAGAAGUGCAGUUGUGACUGCAGUCAGUCACCGUGUUCUCGAAAACAUCCGUGCUACCACUGUCACCUCGUUAAGAAGUGUGCAUGCCGCAAAUGUCAUCGCGGCUAAUUUCACAGCUGCACUGAGUGUCGUAUUAUCGGUGACUUGGGAAAUUUAACCUUAGAUGGCAUACGUUGAUGCACCCACUGCACCGAAAAGGUCAUCCAAAGGCCUACAAAUGGAUCCUGCGCGGGGUUCCCCGCAGCUGCCGCGAUCUAGUGCGUUUCAGGUGAAUUGAGCAUAAUAAAUGCAAAAACUCCACAA